Long non-coding RNA from Nicotiana tabacum (common tobacco), 876 nucleotides. RefSeq lists it as uncharacterized. NCBI's taxonomy places the organism in Eukaryota, Viridiplantae, Streptophyta, Magnoliopsida, Solanales, Solanaceae. The record is from RefSeq and is a predicted model, not a curated record.
GCUUAUUCUGAUAUUAAGCAACACUUUACAAGCGUUAUCCUUGUCCUUGGUACAUUAAAAGUAAUGCGGUGCAGACGUGGUCUGAAUUAAAAAAUAUUAGCACAAAAAUUUCCCACUUAAACUAUUCCCUCUAAAAUUUCUCACUUCCCCUCUAAAAAUUUUCACUAAAAGUCUAAGCGAUUCCAGUUGUCCCUUUACUUUAGGGUUUGAAACCCACAACCUUCUUCACUUGAUUUAGAAAAAAAAACUGUUCAUUGCACCCAAUCUUCGUCAAAAAAGGAAAAGAAGAAAAUGAUUUCACUUGUGACUCUCUUCAGAAGCAGGAGAUCUAAUUUACUUUAUUUGAUUCCUCCUAAGAUAUGAGUUACAUAAGUCAGUUUCUCAAGACAACAAGAAAGGUUUGAUGUGCCAAUGAAGAAUUGUGACCUUGACAUCAAAGUGGUUUACUUUUCGCAAGUAUUACUCAAACUGAAGGAACAAUAGAAUCAGUCAAGGUCCUUAUAAUUUAUAACUUCUAUCAUAUCUCAUUUAGAUGUGUUAGCUACCUUAUCCUUCUACGAUGAUUCAAGUAACGCAGAGGCUGCUAGAGACCAAAUUUUUUCAAAUUCCUUUGGAUCUAACUCAUAGUCCAAUUCUUGGAAGGGAAAAUUCUUGUGAUGCAAUUAAAAGUGGUGGCCAAAGUCGGUUUGAUCCAUUUGAAGUUAAUGAUGAAGACUUUUGGACAAUACAUUUGAUUUUGUAAAGUUCAUAUUUAGCACGCUACUUGAAGCAAUUUGCUUUAUUGGUUGAUUGUAGUAUAUGAAAUGUAUUCCUUUUUCGAAGUAAAUUGCAUGUAUGUGUUUAAAACAAUCUCUUUUUUUAUUGAUUAAUGAAGUA